AUGAUAGACAUAUCAAGAUAGUUAUUCCUAGUUUCUUUACUACCUUUUGUAUCUUCUAUUUGUUCAAACUCGUAUAAUAUAAUAAUUGAAAUAUAUUUCUUUACGUCUCAAAUAUCUCUGACAAAAAGAAACAAGUUAUCUUUUUUCAGCUGUUCAAAUCAAUGUCAUGUUACAAAAGCACACCUAAAAUAUUGUUGAGAAUUUCUUAAAGUAUAUUAUCGCUUAGCUCCUUACGUCAAUUGGGAUGCGAUGUUGUAGGUCUUGCUCCAGUAAUACCAUUACUAUGGGCAUACAUGCCACACCAAAGCUUGUGCAAAUGAAGCUUUACGCCUAAUAAAACUUAUGGAUGAAGAAACUGAUCCAUGUACAAAUUUUUAUAAAUUCGCACGUGGCAAUUUCAUAAAAAGUGCUUCAUUAGACGAGGGAGACAAUACCAUUACGGAUAAUGCAAAUAGUGAAUUAUCAGAUUACACUAAUGCUGAAAUAACUGCUGAUGUGGAAUAUACUGAUUUAGAAGCAUUCAAGAAAACCAAAAUUUAUUAUCAAAACUGUAUUAAUGAGGCUCGAACAGAACAAGUUGGUAGCAGACAUCUUUUAAAAAUUUUAAAUAACAUUGGGGGAUGGCCGGUGCUGCUUGGUAACAGAUGGAAUGGACGCCGAUAUAACUGGAUGGAAACUGUUUAUAAAAUUGCGGAUGAAUAAUUUGUGGAAUAUUACUUUCCAGCAAGUAUAGCUGUUCAAUCCGACAAUGAAGAUACUUCAAAAAACGCCAUAAAAAUAAGUGGCGUGUCUUUGAAUAUUGGUCCAAAUUAUUUUGUAGAUGGACAAAGUAGCAAUGAAAUAUUGAAAUUGAAAUUUUUUUUCACUUUCCUUCAGAUAUGAAUUCGUCCAUUUUGUAGAAUUGCCAACUGGAUUUUUGAAAUAUUUGUUCAUAGUACCCGAAGAUAAUAUGAACGUAAAUGGAGAACUGUCGCAGGGUGAAAAUAUUGCUGACAACGGGGGUUUCAGAGCUGCUUAUCUUGCGUAUAACGAAUAUACGAGAUAUCACCAUAUCGUGGAAGGCUGCCUUCCGUCCCUCAAUUAUACACCUGAACAAAUGUUUUAGAUUAGUUUGGCAAGUGUAUGGUGUGCACAAGAACGUCCAGAGUUCAUCAAAUCAACAAUGCUCACAGAUACACACAGUCCAAAUGUAGCUAAAGUGAAUGUUGUUCUAUCUAAUAUUAAAGAGUUUGCGGAUGAUUUCAAGUGCAAGCUUGGAUCCAAAAUGAAUCCUCGUGAAAAAUGCAUGGUAUGGUAAACUAGAAUUGCCGAAGACAUUUUUGUGUAAAUGUACUAGCAAUUGAUGUCUGAUCAGCACUUAAAAAAAUUAUCGUCUUUCGAUUCUUUCAAAAAAUACUUAAUUAUAUAGCACAAAACUAUAUAAGUCGAUGUAAAUUCUAUAACUGUAAUUAUAAAUGAAAUUUUUAAUGAAAAAUCAUUUUAGCGCAAUUAUAUUGUAAUCUGAUUAGUAUACAUAUCAGAAAAAAAUAGAAAUACACUACAGUUCUUUAAGUAGAAAUAAAACUAUGUAA
This is a long non-coding RNA of Phymastichus coffea, 1571 nucleotides long. RefSeq lists it as uncharacterized. Lineage: Eukaryota; Metazoa; Arthropoda; Insecta; Hymenoptera; Eulophidae. The record is from RefSeq and is a predicted model, not a curated record. The transcript has 7 exons.